This 442-nucleotide ribosomal RNA is filed under the name uncultured bacterium. RNAcentral's name for it is "partial 16S ribosomal RNA". It matches the Rfam family "Bacterial small subunit ribosomal RNA", at positions 338 to 795 of the family's 1533-position model. The record is from RNAcentral.
CCUACGGGAGGCAGCAGUGGGGAAUAUUGGGCAAUGGACGCAAGUCUGACCCAGCAACGUCGCGUGAAGGAAGAAGGCUCUCGGGUUGUAAACUUCUUUUAAGGGGGAAGCGCAGAAGACGGUACCCCUUGAAUAAGCAAUGGCUAACUACGUGCCAGCAGCCGCGGUAAUACGUAGGUGGCAAGCGUUGCCCGGAUUUACUGGGUGGAAAGGGCGUGCAGCCGGGAAGACAAGUCCGAUGUGAAAUCCCGCGGCUCAACCGCGGAACUGCAGUUGAAACUGUUUUUCUUGAGUAUCGGAGAGGUAAUCGGAAUUCGUGGUGUAGCGGUGAAAUGCGUAGAUAUUAGGAAGAACACCAGUGGCGAAGGCAGAUUACUGGACGACAACUGACGGUCAGGCACGAAAGCGUGGGGAGCGAACAGGAUUAGAUACCCGUGUAGUC